UUUCACUUUCACGCUGCCUUUCUUCUCCUUUGUUUCUAAAUCGCCAAAUCAAUCGUGAAAACUCUCAUCCAACUGGACUGCGGCUUCUCUCUUUUGCUAUAUUUGGGAGGUUAGGGUUCCGCGACUCAUCUAGAAGCGAUUGAUGCUGAAAUUGCGGCCAUUCUCGAUGAGGCUCGAACAUCAUACGCCACCCACAACCGAAAGCUCAUGUCACUCCUCCGAGCCAAAUCCUCUUCUUCGGUCUUCUUUUCCGCCUUCUCCAGAACCCUAACUCCUCUCAUUGAUUUCCAGAGGCGCCUUGCCUCUGUUGAACGCGUCGUCUCCUUCGUCUAUGCCCUUGCUGCCUCCGCCUCCGACGAGUUCCUCGAUUGCUUCCUCAAGUUCCUCCUAGCUGCUACUACGACAUCCAACAAAACAGCCAGAUUCCGAGCGUGCCAGAUCGUCUUCGAGAUAAUAUUGCGGCUUCCAGAUGACUACGCAGAAGUGAGCAAUGAGAUAUGGGAUGAGGUGAUUGAGUGGAUGAUGGUGAGGGUACGAGACAAGAUCCCUGUGGUACUUUUGUAGUUAGAGCGCUUUCACGUUUUGUGAACGACUCUGUGAACAGUGACAUCCUUGAUUUGUACCUCGAGGUGCUCCCUUUGGAACAUAAUGCAGUGGCAUUAAUUCUCUUCAGCUCUUUAACUGAAACAAUUGGGAAUGCUUUUCAGCCGUAUUUUGCAGAUCUGCAACUCAAGUGCUUGCAGGACGAGACUAGCAACCGUGUUAGAGUUGCCAUCCUCAAUGGGAUCAUUCUUGGAAUUCACUCAUGAUGGGGAUGAAGUGUUGCAUUUAGAUUGAUUAACCUUACACAGAGUGGAUACAUUGAGCAUCACGAGAUAUUUGAUGACAGAUCUCCAAUGAAGCAACAUGUUAUAAAGGAUGUUUGGAAGCACUGGGUUUCAUUUUUUUUAAUCAUUUAUAAAUGAUUAAAUGUUUCAAUAUUACAUUUUGAGUUUAGGAAUUAUUUUAUGUAUAACUAUGUUAAGUAACUUUGUUAGGUAAAUAUAUUUAGGACUUUGUUAGGUAAAUAAUACAUUUUGAUGUGUUAAUAGAAACAACAUUGAUUAUUUUACUCGUUA
Long non-coding RNA from Vigna angularis (adzuki bean), 1118 nucleotides. RefSeq lists it as uncharacterized. The record is from RefSeq and is a predicted model, not a curated record. Lineage: Eukaryota; Viridiplantae; Streptophyta; Magnoliopsida; Fabales; Fabaceae. The transcript has 6 exons.